GACGAACGCUGGCGGCGUGCUUAACACAUGCAAGUCGAGCGGUAAGGCCCUUUCGGGGGUACACGAGCGGCGAACGGGUGAGUAACACGUGGGUGACCUGCCCUCAGCUCUGGGAUAAGCCUGGGAAACCGGGUCUAAUACUGGAUAUGACUCCAUGACGCAUGUUGUGGGGUGGAAAGCCUUGUGCGGCUGAGGAUGGGCCCGCGGCCUAUCAGCUUGUUGGUGGGGUGAGGCCUACCAAGGCGACGACGGGUAGCCAGCCUGAGAGGGCGACCGGCCACACUGGGACUGAGACACGGCCCAGACUCCUACGGGAGGCAGCAGUGGGGAAUCUUGCGCAAUGGGCGAAAGCCUGACGCAGCGACGCCGCGUGAGGGAUGACGGCCUCGGUUGUAAC
This 397-nucleotide ribosomal RNA is filed under the name uncultured bacterium. RNAcentral's name for it is "bacterial SSU rRNA". It matches the Rfam family "Bacterial small subunit ribosomal RNA", at positions 28 to 429 of the family's 1533-position model. The record is from RNAcentral.